CAGCCGCCACGGGAAUACGAAGGGCGCAAGCGUUAAUCGGAAUUACUGGGCGUAAAGCGUGCGUAGGCGGUUUGUUAAGUCUGCUGUGAAAUCCCCGGGCUCAACCUGGGAAUGGCAGUGGAUACUGGCAAGCUAGAGUGUGUCAGAGGAUGGUGGAAUUCCCGGUGUAGCGGUGAAAUGCGUAGAGAUCGGGAGGAACAUCAGUGGCGAAGGCGGCCAUCUGGGACAACACUGACGCUGAGGCACGAAAGCGUGGGGAGCAAACAGGAUUAGAUACCCCCGUAGUCCCUGUCUCUUAUAC
RNAcentral lists this ribosomal RNA (301 nucleotides) under uncultured bacterium. RNAcentral's name for it is "partial 16S ribosomal RNA". It matches the Rfam family "Bacterial small subunit ribosomal RNA", at positions 509 to 807 of the family's 1533-position model. The record is from RNAcentral.